CGUGGGCGGGUUCCCAGGGCUGCACUUUUCUUGGCCAGCCGCGGGGCCCUCUCCGCAGGCUCCACCCGCGCUGAGACGCGGGCUGAAGGUCCCCCCAGCUCAGACCCGAGCCCGGCGCCCUCGCACCUUUUCCAGGGCACUCCUGCGGGGCACACCUGCGUGGAAGGCUUGGAUCCCUCCUGGGCUUGAACUCUCCGCCUUCCGGGCUUGAUUAUUCAACAUUGCACAAAUAUUUGUUGACUGCCUACGAUGAACCAGGAAGUGGAUAAAGCUCUGGAGUUACAAUGAUACACUGCUCCAUCUGGAAAUCUAGGUUGGUGCCACCUAAGUGGGUUCCUGCAGCAAGGAACUUGAGGACAUCCUGCUCCC
Molecule: long non-coding RNA, 369 nt
Organism: Chinchilla lanigera (long-tailed chinchilla)
Lineage: Eukaryota; Metazoa; Chordata; Mammalia; Rodentia; Chinchillidae
Exons: 3
Source: RefSeq, a predicted model, not a curated record